This 463-nucleotide ribosomal RNA is filed under the name uncultured bacterium. RNAcentral describes it as "partial 16S ribosomal RNA". It matches the Rfam family "Bacterial small subunit ribosomal RNA", at positions 28 to 506 of the family's 1533-position model. The record is from RNAcentral.
GACGAACGCUGGCGGCGUGCUUAACACAUGCAAGUCGAACGGAAAGGCCCCUUUGGGGGUACUCGAGUGGCGAACGGGUGAGUAACACGUGAGUAACCGGCCCUUGACUUCGGGAUAACUUCAGGAAACUGGGGCUAAUACCGGAUAGGAAUCCUUGCGGCAGGGUGGGGGUUGGAAAGCUUCGGCGGUUUUGGAUGGACUCGCGGCUUAUCAGCUUGUUGGUGGGGUAGUGGCUUACCAAGGCUUUGACGGGUAGCCGGCCUGAGAGGGCGACCGGCCACAUUGGGACUGAGAUACGGCCCAGACUCCUACGGGAGGCAGCAGUGGGGAAUAUUGCACAAUGGGCGGAAGCCUGAUGCAGCAACGCCGCGUGCGGGAUGACGGCCUUCGGGUUGUAAACCGCUUUCAGCAGGGGCGAAGCUUUUGUGACGGUACCUGCAGAAGAAGCACCGGCUAACUACGU